Molecule: ribosomal RNA, 253 nt
Filed under: uncultured bacterium
Lineage: Bacteria
Description: partial 16S ribosomal RNA
Rfam family: Bacterial small subunit ribosomal RNA
Source: RNAcentral
UACGAAGGGGGGCUAGCGUUGCUCGGAAUCACUGGGCGUAAAGGGUGCGUAGGCGGGUUUUAAGUCAGGGGUGAAAUCCUGGAGCUCAACUCCAGAACUGCCUUUGAUACUGAAGAUCUUGAGUUCGGGAGAGGUGAGUGGAACUGCGAGUGUAGAGGUGAAAUUCGUAGAUAUUCGCAAGAACACCAGUGGCGAAGGCGGCUCACUGGCCCGAUACUGACGCUGAGGCACGAAAGCGUGGGGAGCAAACAGG